UAAUGAGUGUGCGAGCGUUAAUCGGAUUUACUGGGCGUAAAGCGUGAGUAGGCGGCUUUUUAAGUCGGAUGUGAAAUCCCCGAGCUUAUCUUGGGAAUUGCAUUCGAUACUGGGAAGCUAGAGUAUGGGCGAGGAUGGUAGAAUUCCAGGUGUAGCGGUGAAAUGCGUAGAGAUCUGGAGGAAUACCGAUGGCGAAGGAAGCCAUCUGGCCUAAUACUGACGCUGAGGUACGAAAGCAUGGGGAGUAAACAGG
Molecule: unclassified non-coding RNA, 253 nt
Filed under: uncultured Moraxellaceae bacterium
Lineage: Bacteria; Pseudomonadati; Pseudomonadota; Gammaproteobacteria; Moraxellales; Moraxellaceae
Description: contains 16S-23S intergenic spacer region
Rfam family: Bacterial small subunit ribosomal RNA
Source: RNAcentral